GCCUGGUUAUAUCAGUCGGUAGAUAGUUUGACUCUUACUAUAUAAGAUAUCAAAAUGUCAUGGGUUCGAGCCCCAUACUAGGCU
Molecule: transfer RNA, 84 nt
Filed under: Apiotrichum porosum
Lineage: Eukaryota; Fungi; Basidiomycota; Tremellomycetes; Trichosporonales; Trichosporonaceae
Description: tRNA-Lys
Rfam family: tRNA
About the family: Transfer RNA (tRNA) molecules are approximately 80 nucleotides in length. Their secondary structure includes four short double-helical elements and three loops (D, anti-codon, and T loops).
Source: RNAcentral